ACGGAAGGCAGCAGUGAGGAAUAUUGGUCAAUGGGGGGAACCCUGAACCAGCCAUGCCGCGUGAAGGAAGAAGGUCUUCGGGUUGUAAACUUCUUUUACCAGGGACGAAUAAUGACGGUACCUGGAGAAAAAGCAACGGCUAACUACGUGCCAGCAGCCGCGGUAAUACGUAGGUUGCAAGCGUUGUCCGGAUUUACUGGGUGUAAAGGGCGUGUAGGCGGAGCUGCAAGUCAGAUGUGAAAUCCCGGGGCUCAACCCCGGAACUGCAUUUGAAACUGUAGCCCUUGAGUAUCGGAGAGGCAAGCGGAAUUCCUAGUGUAGCGGUGAAAUGCGUAGAUAUUAGGAGGAACACCAGUGGCGAAGGCGGCUUGCUGGACGACAACUGACGCUGAGGCGCGAAAGCGUGGGGAGCAAACAGGAUUAGAUACCCUGGUA
This 435-nucleotide ribosomal RNA is filed under the name uncultured Oscillospiraceae bacterium. Its description in RNAcentral is "bacterial SSU rRNA". It matches the Rfam family "Bacterial small subunit ribosomal RNA", at positions 341 to 792 of the family's 1533-position model. Lineage: Bacteria; Bacillati; Bacillota; Clostridia; Eubacteriales; Oscillospiraceae. The record is from RNAcentral.